RNAcentral lists this ribosomal RNA (429 nucleotides) under Actinomycetes bacterium. RNAcentral's name for it is "Actinobacteria bacterium partial 16S ribosomal RNA". It matches the Rfam family "Bacterial small subunit ribosomal RNA", at positions 355 to 776 of the family's 1533-position model. The record is from RNAcentral. Lineage: Bacteria; Bacillati; Actinomycetota; Actinomycetes.
UAGGGAAUCUUCCGCAAUGGGCGAAAGCCUGACGGAGCAACGCCGCGUGAGUGAUGAAGGUCUUCGGAUCGUAAAACUCUGUUAUUAGGGAAGAACAAAUGUGUAAGUAACUAUGCACGUCUUGACGGUACCUAAUCAGAAAGCCACGGCUAACUACGUGCCAGCAGCCGCGGUAAUACGUAGGCGGCAAGCGUUAUCCGGAAUUAUUGGGCGUAAAGCGCGCGUAGGCGGUUUUUUAAGUCUGAUGUGAAAGCCCACGGCUCAACCGUGGAGGGUCAUUGGAAACUGGAAAACUUGAGUGCAGAAGAGGAAAGUGGAAUUCCAUGUGUAGCGGUGAAAUGCGCAGAGAUAUGGAGGAACACCAGUGGCGAAGGCGACUUUCUGGUCUGUAACUGACGCUGAUGUGCGAAAGCGUGGGGAUCAAACAGG